This 408-nucleotide ribosomal RNA is filed under the name Acidobacteria bacterium Ellin7249. Its description in RNAcentral is "bacterial SSU rRNA". It matches the Rfam family "Bacterial small subunit ribosomal RNA", at positions 32 to 450 of the family's 1533-position model. The record is from RNAcentral. Lineage: Bacteria; Pseudomonadati; Acidobacteriota.
AAUCAACGCUGGCGGCGCGCUUAACACAUGCAAGUCGAGCGAGAAAGGGGAGCAAUCCCUGAGUACAGCGGCGUACGGGUGAGUAACACGUGGGUAAUCUGCCUUUUAGUGGGGAAUAACCCUGGGAAACCGGGGCUAAUACCGCAUAAUCCUGUGAAGGGAAAGCAGCAAUGCGCUGAAAGAGGAGCCCGCGGCCGAUUAGCUAGUUGGUGAGGUAACGGCUCACCAAGGCGGUGAUCGGUAGCCGGCCUGAGAGGGCACACGGCCACACUGGCACUGAAACACGGGCCAGACUCCUACGGGAGGCAGCAGUGGGGAAUCUUGCACAAUGGAGGCAACUCUGAUGCAGCGACGCCGCGUGAGCGAUGAAGCCCCUCGGGGUGUAAAGCUCUUUCGGCAGGGACGAUA